Molecule: ribosomal RNA, 407 nt
Filed under: uncultured bacterium
Lineage: Bacteria
Description: partial 16S ribosomal RNA
Rfam family: Bacterial small subunit ribosomal RNA
Source: RNAcentral
AUUGAACGCUGGCGGCAGGCCUAACACAUGCAAGUCGAGCGGAGCGGCGGACGGGUGAGUGAGGUCUAGGAAUCUGCCUGGUAGUGGGGGACAACGUCCGGAAAUGGGACCUAAUACCGCAUACUAUCAGAUGAGCCUAGGUCGGGUUAGCUAGUGGGUGGGGGAAAGGCCUACGAAGGCGACGAUCCGUAACUGGUCUGAGAGGAUGAUCAGUCACACUGGAACUGAGACACGGUCCAGACUCCUACGGGAGGCAGCAGUGGGGAAUAUUGGACAAUGGGCGAAAGCCUGAUGAAGCCAUGCCGCGUGUGUGAAGAAGGUCUUCGGUUUGUAAAGCACUUUAAGUUGGGAGGCGUUACCAGCAGAAGAAGCACCGGCUAACUUCGUGCCAGCAGCCGCGGUAAUUC